AUGGCUAUCUCUCGCUCGACAGGGAGGUGGAUCGUGCUCGCGCGCUCGUCGUGCUCGCUGGACAGAGUGGUGGAUCGGUCACGGGGGAAUCCAUCCACGGCCGAGGCGCGCGAUGCGCUCGAGCGGGAUCCAGACGAAGGGCGCAAGCCGCGCCCGGCGACGGGGGCGAUUCCUCCAGUUGACGGCGUGAUGAGCAUGCGAUUCGAUCGGGAUCCAAGUGAAGUGCGCGGCGCUGCCGGCCGCGACCACCGCGACUCGCUCGAGCGGGAUUCCGGAUCGAUCCGAUGUGACGCGCGUAAGGAUGCGGCGCGGCAAACCCUAGGCGCCGCCGCCAUGCCCUCGUGCUAUGUAUGUACUACACAGCUGCAGGUCACAGAGUGGUGGAGGCUGACGGCCCGGAGGAGGUAUUUGACAAGAUCAUAUUCGGCGCACAUGCACCUGACGUUUUGAGGGUGCUAGGAGACGAAGCAACACACGGGGAGUUGAGGAUUCUGGGUGCUUUCCAAUAUGCCCAGAGCAACAUGUACCUACAUUGUGACGAAAGCCUUAUGCCAUGGAAUCCGUCGGCAUGGAGCGCCUGCAACUUCCUGGGAACAACCAGCACUAGAGAGUUGCACUGCUUUAAUUCGGCGGCUUGGUUCUCGGGAUUGUCUUACUUACAUGAGCAUUGAUGCUGGUUGGUGUAAUGGGUACAGUACUAACUUAAUUUCAGUGUAUUUUUUCAUCUAACAGUUUCAUUUUUCCAAUGAGGAUUGUCUUGCUUACAUGAGCAUUGAUGCUACUUGGUGUGAUGGGCACAAUGGUUUUAUUUUUUAGUUUUGAGAUUUCAAAGAGGGUCACUCUACGAAUGUAACCCAGUCUUCUGCACACUUGUUGAGCAUCCAUGAGAGUUUUGAAGCUGCUUUCAAGGAAGUCUAUAAUCUAAACAAAGUUUCUGUUACGACAACUAACUCAAUGGCAUGAAAUAUGCCAUAGAGGAUGGCUACUCCAUGAUGAAACAGGAGGAGCUAGGGUUCUGCCGGUUCUAGGGCGGAGAUUGUAGGGGAAAAAUGGAGGAAGACGAGGUCGAGGGCGCGGCGGCCGGCGGCUGGGCGCCGUCCUUGCGUGGUGGAGAAGAGGCGGUGGCGGCGCAAGAGGCGGCUAGGGUUAGGUCUCCCGGCUCCCUAAGGGAAGCCGAGCAAAUACUGAUUGCUUCUUACUUGAUUACAUUGAUACAUCUCCUCUCCUUAUAUAGAGAGGUUUACUUGACUCCUAAGCAAACGACCCUAAUACCGAUAAGAUAAUUGGGCUAAGCCCCUAAUAACUACUCCCUCAGUCC
Molecule: non-coding RNA, 1318 nt
Organism: Aegilops tauschii subsp. strangulata
Lineage: Eukaryota; Viridiplantae; Streptophyta; Magnoliopsida; Poales; Poaceae
Source: RefSeq, a predicted model, not a curated record